GAUGAACGCUGGCGGCGUGCCUAAUACAUGCAAGUCGAGCGAACGGACGAGAAGCUUGCUUCUCUGAUGUUAGCGGCGGACGGGUGAGUAACACGUGGAUAAGCUACCUAUAAGACUGGGAUAACUUCGGGAAACCGGAGCUAAUACCGGAUAAUAUUUUGAACCGCAUGGUUCAAAAGUGAAAGACGGUCUUGCUGUCACUUAUAGAUGGAUCCGCGCUGCAUUAGCUAGUUGGUAAGGUAACGGCUUACCAAGGCAACGAUGCAUAGCCGACCUGAGAGGGUGAUCGGCCACACUGGAACUGAGACACGGUCCAGACUCCUACGGGAGGCAGCAGUAGGGAAUCUUCCGCAAUGGGCGAAAGCCUGACGGAGCAACGCCGCGUGAGUGAUGAAGGUCUUCGGAUCGUAAAACUCUGUUAUUAGGGAAGAACAUAUGUGUAAGUAACUGUGCACAUCUUGACGGUACCUAAUCAGAAAGCCACGGCUAACUACGUG
RNAcentral lists this ribosomal RNA (497 nucleotides) under uncultured bacterium. RNAcentral describes it as "partial 16S ribosomal RNA". It matches the Rfam family "Bacterial small subunit ribosomal RNA", at positions 28 to 507 of the family's 1533-position model. The record is from RNAcentral.